Molecule: ribosomal RNA, 720 nt
Filed under: Escherichia coli
Lineage: Bacteria; Pseudomonadati; Pseudomonadota; Gammaproteobacteria; Enterobacterales; Enterobacteriaceae
Description: partial 23S ribosomal RNA
Rfam family: Bacterial large subunit ribosomal RNA
Source: RNAcentral
ACCUGAAACCGUGUACGUACAAGCAGUGGGAGCACGCUUAGGCGUGUGACUGCGUACCUUUUGUAUAAUGGGUCAGCGACUUAUAUUCUGUAGCAAGGUUAACCGAAUAGGGGAGCCGAAGGGAAACCGAGUCUUAACUGGGCGUUAAGUUGCAGGGUAUAGACCCGAAACCCGGUGAUCUAGCCAUGGGCAGGUUGAAGGUUGGGUAACACUAACUGGAGGACCGAACCGACUAAUGUUGAAAAAUUAGCGGAUGACUUGUGGCUGGGGGUGAAAGGCCAAUCAAACCGGGAGAUAGCUGGUUCUCCCCGAAAGCUAUUUAGGUAGCGCCUCGUGAAUUCAUCUCCGGGGGUAGAGCACUGUUUCGGCAAGGGGGUCAUCCCGACUUACCAACCCGAUGCAAACUGCGAAUACCGGAGAAUGUUAUCACGGGAGACACACGGCGGGUGCUAACGUCCGUCGUGAAGAGGGAAACAACCCAGACCGCCAGCUAAGGUCCCAAAGUCAUGGUUAAGUGGGAAACGAUGUGGGAAGGCCCAGACAGCCAGGAUGUUGGCUUAGAAGCAGCCAUCAUUUAAAGAAAGCGUAAUAGCUCACUGGUCGAGUCGGCCUGCGCGGAAGAUGUAACGGGGCUAAACCAUGCACCGAAGCUGCGGCAGCGACACUAUGUGUUGUUGGGUAGGGGAGCGUUCUGUAAGCCUGUGAAGGUGUACUGUGAGG